This 308-nucleotide ribosomal RNA is filed under the name uncultured bacterium. Its description in RNAcentral is "bacterial SSU rRNA". It matches the Rfam family "Bacterial small subunit ribosomal RNA", at positions 29 to 319 of the family's 1533-position model. The record is from RNAcentral.
AGCGAACGUUAGCGGCGGGCCUAACACAUGCAAGUCGAACGAGAAUGAGGGGGCAACUCCUCUAGUAAAGUGGCGGACGGGUGCGUAACACGUGGGUAAUCUACCUUCCGGCGGGGGACAACAGUCCGAAAGGAUUGCUAAUACCGCAUUCGUCGGCAGGGUCUACGGACUCUGCCGGGAAAGAUGGCCUCUCCUUGGAAGCUGUCACCGGAAGAUGAGCCCGCGGCCCAUCAGCUAGNGGUGAGGUAACGGCUCACCAAGGCUAAGACGGGUAGCUGGUCUGAGAGGAUGAUCAGCCACACUGGGAC